AUCUAGCCCUGACAGAACGGCUAGCGCUGUAGCGAAGCGAAAGCCUAAUAGUGAUGGCAGGAAUAGGG
This 68-nucleotide small RNA is filed under the name Flavobacterium croceum DSM 17960. RNAcentral's name for it is "Flavo-1 RNA". Lineage: Bacteria; Pseudomonadati; Bacteroidota; Flavobacteriia; Flavobacteriales; Flavobacteriaceae. The record is from RNAcentral.